CACCUGCAUUGCUUGCUGUUUGGGGUUUUAGGCUGGGUUUCUGUACAGCACUUUGAGAUAUCAGCUGAUGUACGAAGGGCUAUAUAAAUAAAUUUGAUUUGAUUUGAUGUGCAAACACUAAUAGCUUAACUGAUCACUAACCAAUCACUGCUUUACUGUAGUAUAGGCCUAUAAAUAGGUCAAAGGUCAGAUGACCUGUUUUGAACAAUGGAUGCCAACAAUGGACAGAGAGCAAGAGGAGUAGGAGGGAGAGGAAAAGGAAGAAGAUGAUGAGGGCAAAGAAGAGAAGAAAAGGAGAGCCAUCUCUGAUGAGAUUAGGGCAACACUUGUUGAUCAUGUGAUCAACCACGGUUUGACCAUGAGAGAGGCUGGACUGAGAGUCCAGCCCAACUUGAGUUGAUUUACAGUGGCGUCCAUAAUUCGAACCUUCAGAAAUGAGAACAGUUCCUAUGCUGAACACAUACGGUGUUUGAAUUCUGUACAGAGUGGAAAGGCAAAGACAUCAUGGAGGAUGAGGACGCUUGUUUACAGAUUACUGCAAUUAUAAAUAUGGUCUAUGUGGGGACACAGAGGUUGCCUCUGUCCAAGGUUGGAUAUGCCAUGCUAGGAGAUACUUCCCUCGAUGUUUGGCAAGAGAAAACGUAUCCUGUGAUGUGGACGAAGUAUUGUGGCCAGACUCAGGCCGGAGAAGAGAUGAAGCAUAGCUUAGCACUGGUGAUUCCACCCCCCUACCAAUUCCUGGACUGACCCCCCGGGACCCCCCACACACAAAUUGUGUUCUUUACUGUAUUCUAAAGAAUAUACUUUUGGUUUACAUAUGUUUAUGGUUGUGUUGUAUGCUACUGUAUACAACAGUAAUGUUUGGCCUAAUAAAUAUUUUCUGUUUCUACAUUGCAUUGGUAUUUACAGUGUACUUGUUACCCCUCUCAGCAGAUUACUUUCACUGUAGAACAUUGUAUUGAAAUGUAGAUAUAAGCCUAUGAAAGACCAAAGAGCUUUAGAUUUAGAACAGUGUUUACAUGGUAUAUAUAUAAAAAUGUACUAUAAGCAGUGUUUGCCAUUUGAUGCAAAUGCUUCAUUCUGACAUGUGUUUAUGGCUUUUUGAAUGCAGUGUUACAUUUUGAAGGAGAUGUGAGGCAUUUUGCAUUUUGUGUGUGCAGUUUUGGGAAUUGUGUGUAGAGUUUUGAAAAAAAAGGAGACAGUUUUGAAAACUUGUGUAAACAGUUGGAAAAAACUGUAAAAUAGUGAACAUGAAAAAAGAUAGCCUUUUUAGAUAAAACUGUACUAAAUAUAUUAAUGUAACCAAAUAACUGAUUAAAA
Oncorhynchus tshawytscha (Chinook salmon) is the source of this 1320-nucleotide long non-coding RNA. The record is from Ensembl. Lineage: Eukaryota; Metazoa; Chordata; Actinopteri; Salmoniformes; Salmonidae.